GACAGAGGGUGCAAACGUUGUUCGGAUUUACUGGGCGUAAAGCGCGUGUAGGCGGCUUUGCAAGUCGGAUGUGAAAUCCCACGGCUCAACCGUGGAAGUGCAUCCGAAACGGCAUGGCUGGAGUCCCGGAGAGGAAGGUGGAAUGCUUGGUGUAGAGGUGAAAUUCGUAGAUAUCAAGCAGAACACCUGCGGCGAAGGCGGCCUUCUGGACGGUGACUAACGCUGAGACGCGAAAGCGUGGGGAGCAAACAGG
RNAcentral lists this ribosomal RNA (253 nucleotides) under uncultured bacterium. RNAcentral's name for it is "partial 16S ribosomal RNA". It matches the Rfam family "Bacterial small subunit ribosomal RNA", at positions 524 to 776 of the family's 1533-position model. The record is from RNAcentral.